UUGACGAGCUAAAGGGUCUUUACAGUAUUGUAGUUGGAAGGACUUUUACUUCACUAGGAAAUUAUCAAAUUGGUGACAAUGAACCAUCAGGUUCUGGAGGGUUAACAAGUACGACUUCAUGACAUGUUUAGUUCACUGUUUAGUGCUCUUUCUCUCUGUACAAAUGGGCCUCGCAAUUGCUGUUUAUUUAAUGAUGCUCUCUUGUGAGAUCAGAAAGGUUGGAGAACAAAGCCGCAACCAUUAUAUCCCUUAGAAGUUGCAAGAUUUACUCAUUCAUGGAAGCUUCGCUGUGGUUAUGAUCGUGCCAAUGAUGAUAAAGAUGUUUCCAACAUCGAGGCCAAGAUGAAUGAUGGUUGAUUGAAUGAUGUUGUGUUAUGAGAUCAGAAAUUAAGGUUGGAGAACAAAGCAGCAGCCAUUAGGUCCCUUAGCAGCUGCAAGAUUUGUAAGUUUAUGUAGUAUCUCCUUAUAGUGAUUUAAGUUAGAAGAACUUAGGAAUUUCGUAACUUUACAUGAACUGAACUUAGGAACCAAUUAUGUUUCUAAUGUGUACACUAGUUUGUUGUGAUACUUGGAAUACAUUUAUA
This is a long non-coding RNA of Papaver somniferum (opium poppy), 584 nucleotides long. RefSeq lists it as uncharacterized. The transcript is spliced from 4 exons. The record is from RefSeq and is a predicted model, not a curated record. NCBI's taxonomy places the organism in Eukaryota, Viridiplantae, Streptophyta, Magnoliopsida, Ranunculales, Papaveraceae.